Long non-coding RNA from Siniperca chuatsi (mandarin fish), 441 nucleotides. RefSeq lists it as uncharacterized. The record is from RefSeq and is a predicted model, not a curated record. The transcript has 3 exons. NCBI's taxonomy places the organism in Eukaryota, Metazoa, Chordata, Actinopteri, Centrarchiformes, Sinipercidae.
GACAGCCUGAGGCCUGUGCUCGAGGUCAAUGAGAGCACAAAGACCGAGAAUGCACAUCUUCCUGUCGUGGAGGCUGUGAGGGGAACAGAAAGUGAAAUUACUGAUAGCUGAUAACUUUGGCUGUUGGUCAUAUACUAAAUUACCAGAUUGAGGUGUACAUUAGUUAGACACUGACCUGGUCAAUGCCACGACCUUUGCACUGCAGAAUGAUCACCUCCAGCAGCUUGGCUGCAUGGCACUCUGGGUCCUCGCCUGGAUCACCUGUCAGGACCUGUGUGAAGUGACACGGUCAGCUGAAUUUACAGGAAAACAAAUCCCCACUUUCUCUCUAAACUCAGGAUAUUGGCUUACAGAGUAUGGAUCCGGUACCAGUGCUCUUCUUUAUACCUCACAGAAACCGACUAAGCAUUUUAAUAUGAACGUAAACACUGGUUCAAAGCC